RNAcentral lists this ribosomal RNA (333 nucleotides) under Triticum aestivum (bread wheat). RNAcentral describes it as "partial small subunit ribosomal RNA". The record is from RNAcentral. Lineage: Eukaryota; Viridiplantae; Streptophyta; Magnoliopsida; Poales; Poaceae.
AUGAAAAGGAAGGCACCACUCAUUGGUGUGAACAAGUGGUCUGCCAUUGAUUCUUCUGUGAAGGAUGCAAUCGUUGCUGAUGUCAUUGCUAAGUGGGAUUUGGAGGACACAUAUUCUACGAAGGGAAAAAUACUAACAAUUGCUAGAGAGCGCUAUAGAGGAUGGCGGUCAACUUUGCAUUCAACAUACAAAGCAUACAAUACUGAUGCUCAAAGAAGGGCCAAUAAACCCGAGGAUGUAACUCCAGAGGAGUGGGAUUAUAUGAUCAAUUAUUUUGGCAUUGAUUUAAAAUUCCAGGUUACUUCUGUGUACAUUACUAGGUGUAGUAAGUAA